RNAcentral lists this ribosomal RNA (504 nucleotides) under uncultured bacterium. Its description in RNAcentral is "partial 16S ribosomal RNA". It matches the Rfam family "Bacterial small subunit ribosomal RNA", at positions 30 to 523 of the family's 1533-position model. The record is from RNAcentral.
AUUGAACGCUGGCGGCAGGCCUAACACAUGCAAGUCGAACGGUAGCACAGAGAGCUUGCUCUCGGGUGACGAGUGGCGGACGGGUGAGUAAUGUCUGGGAAACUGCCCGAUGGAGGGGGAUAACUACUGGAAACGGUAGCUAAUACCGCAUAACGUCGCAAAACCAAAGUGGGGGACCUUCGGGCCUCACACCAUCGGAUGUGCCCAGAUGGGAUUAGCUAGUAGGUGGGGUAAUGGCUCACCUAGGCGACGAUCCCUAGCUGGUCUGAGAGGAGGACCAGCCACACUGGAACUGAGACACGGUCCAGACUCCUACGGGAGGCAGCAGUGGGGAAUAUUGCACAAUGGGCGCAAGCCUGAUGCAGCCAUGCCGCGUGUAUGAAGAAGGCCUUCGGGUUGUAAAGUACUUUCAGCGGGGAGGAAGGCGGUGGAGUUAAUAACUUCACCGAUUGACGUUACCCGCAGAAGAAGCACCGGCUAACUCCGUGCCAGCAGCCGCCGUAA